AAACCAGAAGUGUGCAGUCGCCGUGUAGCAUCAGGCUACGGCGGAGGAAAGUCCGAACUUCACAGGGCAGGGUGCCGGUCGAGAGUCUAAGACUCAAGCCUGGGGAUGACGGCGCAAGCCGGUUAUCACAGAUAGUGCAACAGAAAACAAACCGCUCCGGGCAACCGGAGUAAGGGUGAAAUGGCGGUGUAAGAGACCACCAGACAUUACAGCAAUGUAAUGUGCUUGGCAAACCUCCCCGAAGCAAGGCUAAAUAGGAAAACUUUCUCCUCUCGGGGGGAUAAGAGUGGCCCGCUCAAAUCCGAAAGGAGAGUUUUCGGGUAAGCCGCAUUAGAUAAAUGGCUGCAGUUUUAACCGGCUUCGGCCGGUUAAUCCACAGAAUUCGGCUUAUAGCUUCGGUUUCAGC
Molecule: RNase P RNA, 406 nt
Filed under: Chlorobium sp.
Lineage: Bacteria; Pseudomonadati; Chlorobiota; Chlorobiia; Chlorobiales; Chlorobiaceae
Description: RNase P RNA component class A
Rfam family: Bacterial RNase P class A
About the family: Ribonuclease P (RNase P) is a ubiquitous endoribonuclease, found in archaea, bacteria and eukarya as well as chloroplasts and mitochondria. Its best characterised activity is the generation of mature 5'-ends of tRNAs by cleaving the 5'-leader elements of precursor-tRNAs. Cellular RNase Ps are ribonucleoproteins.
Source: RNAcentral